GGAUGUGAGGGUGAUCCAGCUGGGACAUCUGUCACCCCGUUGAUUGCCAGGGUUGAUUCAGCUGAUCUGGCUGGCUAGUCGUGGGUCCCCUUCCUCCCUCACCGCUCCACGUGCGUCCCUCCUGAAGCUGCAUGCUAGGUCAAAGAGGACGACGACCUUUCCCGAUAGAGGAGGCCUGUUCUUUGGUCAAGAGUAUACGGGUAGCUGCACUCCCCUGCUAGAACCUCCAAACAAGCUCUCAAGUCACAGGGACCUGGGGCUGGAGGGAGGCCCAGUGUG
RNAcentral lists this small nuclear RNA (279 nucleotides) under Microcebus murinus (gray mouse lemur). RNAcentral describes it as "7SK RNA (ENSMICG00000020925.3)". It matches the Rfam family "7SK RNA", at positions 1 to 276 of the family's 331-position model. From Rfam's summary of the family: 7SK was discovered as an abundant small nuclear RNA in the mid-70s but a possible function has only recently been suggested. Two independent studies have found that 7SK RNA binds the CDK9/cyclin T complex (known as elongation factor P-TEFb). The record is from RNAcentral. Lineage: Eukaryota; Metazoa; Chordata; Mammalia; Primates; Cheirogaleidae.